This is a long non-coding RNA of Nerophis ophidion (straightnose pipefish), 1300 nucleotides long. RefSeq lists it as uncharacterized. The record is from RefSeq and is a predicted model, not a curated record. Lineage: Eukaryota; Metazoa; Chordata; Actinopteri; Syngnathiformes; Syngnathidae. The transcript is spliced from 3 exons.
AAUAUAUGUACAUACAAUAAAACAAAUAUUGAAUAUUUAUUACAUAUAAAGGCACAUUAUGAUCAUGUUCAGCAUGUCAAAUAUGUAUUUCUUUGCAGAGUGGCCAAGUUCAACCCGAGCUGUCAGACACUCUCAAUAGAUCCCUUGGAAGAGGAGAGUUGGCGCCUGAAAGAGAGGUUAGGUGAGGCCAGACCAGCGCCUUUCCCCUGGUGACUCCCCGGAGGAAGAAUGCCAUUCAGUGCUGCUGCUGUCACCUUCCACAGCGCAGUUCCGCAGGAAGAUAAAAGGGUCAACCAGAGCAAGAAUGUGUGGAAAGUGAUGUGUCCUUUGGCCUCACACACACACACACACACACACACACACACACACGUUCUUGUAUUACUUACCUUCUUGAGACCUCGGAAAAAUACCUCUUUAGGACCACUCUUUCUAGAUGUAUAAAUAUUUCUAUUUACAACAUUAAUAAUACAUACAUACAUACAUCCAUUUACUACCGAUUAUUACCUUGUUUGGGGUCCUGGUGCCUAUUUUAGCUACAAUUGGGCGGAAGGCGGAGUACACCCUGGACAAGUCACCACCUCAUCGCAGGGCCAACACAGAUAGACAGACAACAUUCACACACUAGGGCCAAUUUAGUGUUGCCAAUCAACCUAUAACCAGGUGCAUGUCUUUGAAGGUGGGAGGAAGCUGGAGGGAACCCACGCAGCUCACGUGGAGAACAUGCAAACUCCACACAGAAAGAUCCAGAGCCCAGGAUUGAACCCAGGACUGCAGGACCUUCGUAAUGUGAGGCAGACGCACUAACCCCUCUGCCACAGUGAAGCCCUAAUACAUACAUAUGUACAUAUAAAAAGGUAAGCUUUUAAUUAUUUUAUUUUAUUUUUUAAGCUUGGACUUGAUUUUUAAUCAUCAUUAUUUACUUCAAGUUAUUAUAGUAUAUCUCUACAGACAUACUCUGUUGUUUUUAAUUACACACACUUGUUAUUUCAUAUGUUGACUGGAGGGGCGCACAUUUAAAACCGACACAAUGUCAAUUUGCAAAAACCCUUCCCUAAUUUUGAUAGAUUUCACCACCAGGGGUGCAAAUGAGACAUUCUCUAUUAGAUACAUAGUUUUCUGUAUUGGGACUAGGAUUUAUGUCAUCACUUGUUCACACCUCCUCAUAUGGAAGCUACUUUUCCUUGUUGAUGUCUGAGGAAGGGUGGAAAUACACACACACACACGUAAGUUGUUGAUCAGGACUUGUGGGGACCACCCUUUCUACAGGUUGUGGAAGUGUAAAAAAAAUAGGUAAUAUGGU